AUGUCCAUCCAGGUUCUGUUUAAAAGCUUCCAAGGAGUUUUGGCCCUCCCUCCUGUUGUUUUGGACAAGGGCGGAAGUCGUCCUUUGCAGAGGACGGAGGGCAUCUGUGGGCCCCUUCCAGGCCAGGACCAUGGAGAGGGGGAGGGCUCUUCUGACAGCUUCCUACUCUCUUUCCUUCCUUCCUUCCCUUUGCAUGUACUUUCUGUCUUAGCUCCCUUCUCUUUGCAUCAAGUUUUCUCUGUGCCUUGCUGUGCCUUCUGUGCACCUUGCUUUCUCUCUUUGCUCUUUUCCCUUUGCGUCUGCUUUCUGUGCAUCUUGCUUUCUCCCCUUUGCAUGUGCAUCCUUUGCACCUUGAUUUGUCUUUGCUCCCUUCUCUUUGCAUCUGUUUUCUCUGUGCCUUGCUUUCUCCCUUCCUUUUGCAUGUGUUUACUGUGCAUCUUGAUUUCUCCCCUUUGCAUGUGCAUCCUUGGCACCUUGUUUUCUGUCUUUGCUCCCUUCUGUUUGCAUUUGUUUUUUCUCUAUGCCUUGCUUUCUCCCUUCCUUUUGCAUGUGUUUACUGUGCACUUUGCUUUCUCCCCUUUGAUUGUGUUUUCUGUGCCCCUUGCUUUCCCUUUUGGCUUCCUUGGCGUGUUUUUGUGCCCCUUGCUUUGCAUGUAUUUUCUCUGCACCUUGCUUUCUGUCUUUGCUCCCUUCUUUUUGCAUCUGUUUUCUCUGUGCCUUGCUUUCUCCCUUCCUUUUGCAUGUGUUUUCUGCGCCCCUUGCUUUGCAUGCAUUUUCUCUGCACCUUGCUUUCUCUCUCUGCCCAAUAUCUACUCUCUUCCCUUCCUUCCCUUUGCAUGUGCAUCAAUUAGUACCUUGGGUUCUGUCUUUGCUCCCUUCUUUUU
This 884-nucleotide long non-coding RNA is filed under the name Anolis carolinensis (green anole). RNAcentral describes it as "lncRNA (ENSACAG00000044606.1)". The record is from RNAcentral. Lineage: Eukaryota; Metazoa; Chordata; Lepidosauria; Squamata; Anolidae.